Long non-coding RNA from Ipomoea triloba (trilobed morning glory), 4187 nucleotides. RefSeq lists it as uncharacterized. The record is from RefSeq and is a predicted model, not a curated record. The transcript is spliced from 2 exons. Lineage: Eukaryota; Viridiplantae; Streptophyta; Magnoliopsida; Solanales; Convolvulaceae.
GGAUUCCACUGAGGCUGAGAAACUCCCCAAACACCCUAGCUCCCCAUCAUCUCCUUCAUUCGCUAUAAGUACCAGCAUUGUCCCAGUGUUGUCUAUGCCCUUCUCAAACCUUAGCUUUUAGCAUCUCUCAUUCUCCAUUUGUAUAGUUGGGGAUGAGUACUUGCUAUGUGCUUGAGACAUUGUCUUUGAUUGCUGCACAAAUCCUCUAAGAAGUUCUGAGCACUCAAGGUUAUAAUUUUCCUAUUCUUUCUUUUAUUUUAUAUCUUGUAAAAUUUAGGUAUACUGAAGUGAGGUGAUGAUAGAAUUCAUGUCUGUCAAUCCACUGAUACAUUUGUGUGAUGUUAUACAUGAAUCCCGACAGGUUCUGAUCACUUCAUUUCCAGUACUUGUGCUUUAUGUGUCUUUUCUGCUUUGCAUAUAUGCCCAAUUUGUAGAAUGAAAAACAUCCAUUUGCUCAAUAGGAGAUAGUGGGUUCUGUUGAGGCUGAGAAACUCCCUGACACCCUAGCUCCUUAUCACCACCUCAUUAGCUAAGUGCCCUCAUUCUCCAAUUAUUUCUCUCUUUCUCAAAUAUUAGGUUUUAGUAUCUCUCUCUCUCCCUUUGUAUUCUUGGGUAACCUAAAGUUUCAAUCUUUGUUUCUAUUUUAAUUUUGAUUUGAUGAUUAGAAUUGAUGUGUUAUUGAGUGUAUAAAAUUUCAGAUUUGGGGCCAAUGAUUUAAGUAUUUAAUUGACAAGCAUAUGUCUGAAUUUUCUUAUGUUGCUAGUUCUAAUAUUCUCUAUGAGGCCACCUUUCUGUUCUCAAAUUUUCUUAGUUUUGAUCUUUUCUUUAAAAACAUUACAGCUUUUUGUGUUUUUUUUUUCAAUUAUUAUUUAUUUAUGCCGAUGAUGAGUAUAGUUGAAUUGUGUUUAUGAGAAAUCAUGAUUACAACAAUACUACUGCCUUCCUUCUGAGGCCUUUUCUAUCUCAUUGCAAACUCUUUUGAAUACUUUUUCUUUCUUUUUAAAACUUGAAUCCUUUCAUACUAAAGGGAGUCAUAUGAUGAUUUUGUGCAUAGUUCAAAUGAUAACCUUUGUGAUUAAAAAAAAUUGUCUUUCGCUCCUAUCUGAUGACUCAUGACUCUUUUUUGUUCAUUUUGUGGGCCUAACUGAUUCACAUCACUCUAUUAUAAUAUCUCUCCAAUCUUUCUCCCCAUUUUGUGAGUCCCUACUCUUUCACACUCCUAUACAUCAUCUAUUAUUUUAUUUAUUUUUCUAUAAUUAAUAUUUUUAAUUUUAUACUUAUAAUUUCUAAUUUUGAUUAUAAGUAUAAUUUAAUAAAUUAUGAAAUAAAUUAUAUUUUAAUUUUAUAAAAUAUAAUCUAUAAGAACAAAGGGGAGCUCUCCUCCUCUUUGUGACAGUGAAUUGUGAUGCAGGAUCAUUAGAUCCCACAUUGAAAGGUUUUGGGGAGGAGGGGCGUUGAGCUUCCUUUAUAAGAGGAGCUUAGUGCCCCUAUUACUUUGGAAGUUGUUUGAUGUUUCCCACAUCAAAUGGGCAACAAAAGUGCCUAGGGAAGCCCUCUUGUAGAGGAGCUCAAUGCUCUUCCUCCCCAAAUGAUCCCACAUCACAAUUUACAAAGGGGGCACAUCCAGAGUAUUUUUUCACCCAACCUUUCCCCCUUAUUUCUUCCCCUCUUUCUCUCCCUUUUUCUCCUCCAUUGGAGAUCCCCUUAUACCAAGAGACCAACGGUAAAAGUUUUCUUGGUGGGUUUUUGUUUAUUCGGGGGGAAAAAAUAAAAGGAAAAAAACAGAGAAAGCAGCCUUGAUGGGCGUGCGGCAAGUUCCACAAAUUCUUCACGGUUUUUUCUUUCUAUAAAAAACAUGCAAAUGGGAACCUUAGAGACAAUCUCUCCUCUCCUCUCUCCUUCCUCCUUCACUUCUCCAAAAAUGAGACAAAAACUAUCCCCAAAGCCCCCACUAUUUUUAAUCUUGGCAGAUGAACUUCGUUUCUUCUUUCUUUUAUUUUCUCCACAUCCCUGAAAAUUUGACAAAAAUCCAUCUAAAAACCCUGACUGUUUUUUAGUUAGGCCACUAUAGAAGGGUGACCCUGUAUAGUUUAAUUAAAAAUUAUAAAAAUUGAAUUUCAAUAUUGUAUCAUAAUUAUUUCCUACUAAAACAUAUAAAAGUAUCAGUACAUUUGCAGCUGGCAUGUUUUAUUUUUCUUCCCCAUAAAAAACUAUGCAAAUGGGAACUUAUAGAAAAACUUUUCUCUCCUUUCUCCUUCACUUCUCCAAAAAUGGGACAAUAUUCCCAAAGCCCCCAUUAUGUUUGCACAUAGUCCAUGGCUAAUGGGGUUUUUUGGGGAGGUAAGUUGGAGCAACACGGAAGAAGAGAAAGAUACUUAGAAUGCAUGAUCAAAAGCAUAAAUCAUGGUUCGGUGUUUUUAAGACAGCACUUUGACAAACGUGGGGCUGUUUGUGGCAGUGGCAUUCUAGCUGAUGCUAAGUCCCAUCAAGAAUAGGGUUGUAGCAAAUGCAUAGUAGUUGCUAAGGCCAGCUGCAAAUCGAUGCCAAGAUGACCUGGCAAUAAGUCUAAUCUAUGUGGCAAACAAAGCAAUAAAAAAAUAAUUUUUCUUUUGGCCACCUCACCUUUCACUUGCUAGGUGAGGUGGCCAAAAGAAAAAUUACUUUUUUAUUGCUUUGUUUGCCACAUAGAUUAGCAAACUUGCUACUGCAGGUUCAGAUCAUAUCAUUUCCAAUUGCUAAUGCAUUCUGCAUCUUUUUUAUUUGUUGCCUAUCCUUAUUCUUAUGUUUUCAAUUUCAUCCUCUAUUGGGCAGAUUAUGAAUCUCAUGUUAAAUGGGUAAUUUGCAUCUGAAUUUUCUUUGAUGUUAAAUCACCUUGGAGAACUGAUGCCCUUGUAUAAAGUUUUACUGUCUGCUUAGUCAUUUGUGUUUUACCCCUCAUACAUUCAUGUGUUUCAAUCUAAUUAUAUUUGAGAAUUUUCAGUAACUCAAUUGGAUUGUAACAACAUUAUGCAUUGGUGUUGAGAAUUGAAGAUACAUUUAAGAAAUGAAUAUGGUACAUUAAUGUUUUACUAUAAUACUAAACACAAUCUUCAAUCUGAGUUGCCUGUUCCACAACUCAGCCCGUCAAGCCACCAAUCUGCAAGAGUUCAUGUAUCUGUGAAUACCAAUCUGCACGUGGAGUGGCCUCUGAAUCACCAUCGAUGGGUUCGGUUUAAAUCCACAGUUGUUACUAAUCAGAAUAGCUUUAGCUGCCAUAUUCAUGCUUUUUGUUGCAGUUCUUAAGGUGAAGGUGCUUGACCCAUUCUGGUUGGUUAUAGCAGAGCCUGUCAUUUCUGGCAGGCUUGAGAAAGAACCCUUCAUUAUUUCUUCGUGAUGAUCGCCUCUAUGCACACUGUCUUCUCGGUUUUCAUCCAUUUUGGUAUUCAAGGCGGGGCGUUGACCAUUAUCUGGUAAGGUUUUGUAAGAGCCAUUUGUUUUUUCUUGGUAAACUCUUUGCAGGUCCUCUACUGGUUUUUCAUCUGUUCUGGGAAUCAAGACGGAGCUCUGAUCAUCAUUUAGGAUUCUCUUUGCCUCGUUGAUGAAGCCAAUGGCACGCCACGCAUCUGCAACGAGCUGAACUGUGUUCUUCCUGGGCGAAACGCCUAUUUCUUCCAUGAUUUGAAGCAACUCUUCUGCUUUCCAUGGCUGCUUUGCUUCGCCAUAGCCCCAAAUCAGUGUCUCAAAAGUGUUCAAAUUGGGCUGCACAUCCAUCCUACACAUCCUGUCAUAUACCCUCAAGGCAUCCUCCAUUUUGGCUGCACUGCACCACCCACUGAUGAUUGUGGUGAACGUUACCACGUUCGGGUGUGCACCGUGGGUGCCCAUCACUUCCAAGAGGGCUUCCGCUUUCUCAGGCUCCCCAGCGCGGACAUAGCCUUUGGCAAGGAUGCUGAAUGCAUGGUUAUCGGGUUCAAUGCCAGACUUGAUCAUGUCUUCAAACAUUUCCUUGCAUUUCUCCAUUAGGCCUGCUGAGCUCCACGCGUUCAUAAUCGUACUAUAUGUGACCACAUCCGGUUUCACUCCAAAUUCUUCCAUCAUUGUUAGUGUCUGCUCGUUUUGUAACAAGAUUGUAAGAAAAACACAUUCAAGAUUAAAGUGCAAUAAAUCAAAUGUAUGAUGAGUAUGUUGUCUUUCUUGUUUUCCUUUAA